CCGGUAGUCCAGUGGUUAGCACGUGGGCUUCACAGUGCAGAGGUACCGGGUUCGAUUCCAGCUCCGGCCUCCCUGUGUGGAGUUUGCAUGUUCUCCCCCGGGCCUGCGUGGGUUUUC
Long non-coding RNA from Hippocampus zosterae (dwarf seahorse), 117 nucleotides. RefSeq lists it as uncharacterized. The transcript has 2 exons. NCBI's taxonomy places the organism in Eukaryota, Metazoa, Chordata, Actinopteri, Syngnathiformes, Syngnathidae. The record is from RefSeq and is a predicted model, not a curated record.